GAUUAUUUAGUUUAACAAAAACCGAUGUUUUGAAAGCAUAAGAUAAGAACUACCGUUUCUUAAUAAUCG
This 69-nucleotide transfer RNA is filed under the name Mictyris longicarpus. RNAcentral's name for it is "tRNA-Ser". The record is from RNAcentral. Lineage: Eukaryota; Metazoa; Arthropoda; Malacostraca; Decapoda; Mictyridae.